Molecule: long non-coding RNA, 2491 nt
Organism: Aegilops tauschii subsp. strangulata
Lineage: Eukaryota; Viridiplantae; Streptophyta; Magnoliopsida; Poales; Poaceae
Source: RefSeq, a predicted model, not a curated record
UCUCUCUCAAGCCGCCGCUGCCGCCACCGACCGCCUCGAACCAGCUCGUCCCACCUCCUCCUCUCCCUCUCUCGAUCUCCUCUGCCUCGCACGCCACCACCGCUCGCCCUCGCGCCGCCGCCUCCAUUCGCCCUCCUCUGCCUCGCACACCGCCACCGCUCGCCCUCGCGCCGCCGCCGUCUCCGUUGCCCAACCCACUGGAUCCCCACCAUCCACUUCUCCAGUGUCGUCGCCUCGUCAUCACGUGCACGCGGCAGGAGGAGCGAGGGAGAUGUGGAGCCGCCGCUAGGAACGCCACCUUCGUCCUCGCGUGCACAUGACAGGAGGAGCGGGGGAGGCGUGGAGCCGCGCCCUCCCCUGCCGCCGCCGCUGCCCGUUCCCUCGCCCUCCCCUGCCGUCUCCAUCGGCGACUUCAACUUCUCCCUUUCCCUGCCCAUGUCGCCGGCCUCUCCCUUGGUGGCGGCCAGAUCUACCAGGCGGCGGUGUAGGGGACGCAUCAUCCCCUCCAAGAGCCUCGCCGCCCCCUUCUUCAUGGCUAGGAUUUGGGUGAAAGGAGGCCACAACAGGGGAGAAGUGGCCAGGGUCAUAACUCAUAACAUACACACCUGAAGGUUGUUCUCAAAUCGGACAUAGCCAUGCCAUUCACUCUCAAACCUCGGCUACGAAAUUAUUGGUAUAAUUCAUGCACAGGGAAUGUCUUUUGCAUGGCAGAAAGAGUUGUGGCAGGCAAAGAGGUCAUAAUUUCUGGAUCCGCGCCGCCAUCAAGCCGGGCCCCAACGGUCGCCUCCUUCUCUACAACCAGUGCCAGGCCCUUCGGUGCAUCGAUCCGGCACCAGGAACCAUGAGAAGCAGGCCCUUCUACCCCGCCGCCGGCGCCGCCUCCUCGCGAGAUCCCGACCAUGGUCCGCUGUAGAUGUUGUUUGUUCUGUUUGUCGAGGCUUUUGUCGGCCUGCUGUCUGCUGCCGUGUUGAGAGGUUGCAAGGUUCCUGGUUGCGCGGAGAUGAUCCAUGAUCUGGUGGUGGGAAGUGGCUCCAUAUUGGUGAUUGGACCUCCUGGUGUAGGCAAGACUACUCUGAUCAGCCAGAAGAUGGUGUUGUUAUCCACGAGGAUGUCUUAAAUGAUACGAGAGGUUCGGGAGGGUGUCAGAAAUGCUACUCAGAGAAAGCUCCUCAAUGAGCUGGGCAUCCCAGCUGAAGAUGUGCCCGUUGACCAGUUCAUUCCUGUCAGUCGGAUGCUUGACAGGGUGUCGGCUGUAGAGACAGAAGAGGAGGUUGAGGCAUCCUCGACGCCUGCUGCAGCGACCACGACCACAUGCAUCUAAAAGAGAGACAGUUUCCAGGUGGUUCACAUUUUUACAGGAGGCACAUGCUUUUGUUCAUCUUGCUUCUUGAUACUAUAGAUGCUUUGUGAGAGGAUGCUUCUACUGGAGACCAUGAUCCAGUCCAAUGAUUUAUCCGGCAAGGAGGAGAAGCAUUGUUGGGGUCCUCAUUGUCACCAAGGGGAUGCAACCUACAUCAAUCGUGUAGAGAUCCACUGAUGUGUCCGUGCCCAUGUUGUGCUUCACCGAGCUUCAGGAAAAAUAAUCUAUUUCUGGGAUUAGUCCUCAACAAGCAAGAAGAAGUGCCAUCACUGGUAUGAAACUCAUGCCAGGGGAAGGGAUUCCAUCACUGCCUUUUGAUCAGCAAGUGUAAUCUCCAGUGAUGAUCGUCCCUGUUCAGCAUUCAUCAACAGAAUGCCAUCUUCAGUGCCCCUCUCUAGGCCCUCACUCUGAAUUCUUUCGGUUUUAAUAGGUGCCCUCCCUCCAUGGACGAGGAGGACAUUGACCUAGACCUUGACGACGACGUCGUCCACCCCACACAAGGUCGUUGCCACGCAAUAAACUUCUUUUCUUCUUCCAUUCCAAGUUACCUCUGCUCUGUUUCUGCAAUAGACUCAUUGUACACUAGCUAUAGAUCCCUAUGUUGUUGUUGGUGGUGGUUGGCGAGGUGACGCUGGAAGGCGCGGAGGCGUCGUCGACGAAAGAGAAAAAGAAGAGGACAUACCGUACAGCUGCCCACCACUGCUCACCUCGAUGGCUCGACCACCUCUGCUGUGCCGCAGACGACACAGGGGGAGGCCGAGGUGAUCAUCGACGGUGCUCACCCCGACCCCAUUGGGAUCUAGGGGAAGGGGCUAUGGCGGCAGCGGCACUGGGAGAGGCGGCGGCACUGGGAGAGGCAGCGGCGCUCGGAGAGGAGGCACCUACUUUAUUUCUACUUCUACUUUUCUUCUGCACCUAUAGUUUCAAUGCUUUAUCUGCUCGUGGAGCUAUGCUUCUGUUGCAUUGGGCUAAGGUUUGAUUGCUUGAAGGUGUAUGUCAAGGUGUAAGUGCAGACUCAUUGUUGAUGAUGAAUACUGUGGAGUAAGAAUGAUCUGGCUCAGCAAUUUUCUGGUUCAGGUCGUUGACAUAUUCGGGUUCUAGGUCACAUAAAUAAAAUUUAGAGUUAAUUGA